GGCAGUUCUCGGGUGACCUACCCUGGAAUUGGGCUCCAUCCUCUCUGGUUCUGGGGUGCAUCACCCGAGAACCGCC
This is a non-coding RNA of Myotis brandtii (Brandt's bat), 76 nucleotides long. The record is from Rfam. Lineage: Eukaryota; Metazoa; Chordata; Mammalia; Chiroptera; Vespertilionidae.